GACGAACGCUGGCGGCGUGCUUAACACAUGCAAGUCGAACGGAAAGGCCCCUUCGGGGGUACUCGAGUGGCGAACGGGGGAGUAACACGUGAGUAACCUGCCCUGACUUCGGGGUAACUUCAGGAAACUGGGGCUAAUACCGGAUAGGAAUCCUUGCUGCAUGGUGGGGGGUGGAAAGCUUCGGCGGUUUUGGGUGGACUCGCGGCGUAUCAGCUUGUUGGUGGGGUAGUGGCUUACCAAGGCUGUGACGGGUAGCCGGCCUGAGAGGGCGACCGGCCACCUUGGGACUGAGAUACGGCCCAGACUCCUACGGGAGGCAGCAGUGGGGAAUAUUGCACGAUGGGCGGCAGCCUGAUGCAGCAACGCCGCGUGCGGGAGGACGGCCUUCGGGUUGUAAACCGCUUUCAGCAGGGGCGAAGCUUGUGGUGACGGUACCUGCAGAAGAAGCACCGGCUAACUACGUG
RNAcentral lists this ribosomal RNA (464 nucleotides) under uncultured bacterium. Its description in RNAcentral is "partial 16S ribosomal RNA". It matches the Rfam family "Bacterial small subunit ribosomal RNA", at positions 28 to 507 of the family's 1533-position model. The record is from RNAcentral.